This 1202-nucleotide long non-coding RNA is filed under the name Monodelphis domestica (gray short-tailed opossum). RNAcentral's name for it is "lncRNA (ENSMODG00000048644.1)". The record is from RNAcentral. Lineage: Eukaryota; Metazoa; Chordata; Mammalia; Didelphimorphia; Didelphidae.
UAAUAAAGCAAUAACUAUAUUUUAAUUUCUAAGGAAAAAGGUAAAGGAUAUGCCCAAUUCCACAAAAUUGACAAAAUUUCACUUUUAAAUAGGCCAAGAGAUUGAAUCAUUAGAUCCCUAUUAGGAAAUCAUAAAAAUAUUUAUAAUGGGAAUUUGAACAGAUUGUGCUUGACUCAUUUUGAUUUUGAAUUGAAUCUCUUUUUGUUUCCAAUGCAAUGAAAUUCUAUCUGUGGUAGAUAGUGAAGGGAGUGGAGGUUGCACUGUGUCCAAAUGAACAGUUCCUGGGAAAAACUGCAAGGCCACAGUUGAGACAGAUAACCGGGAAAAACUAAGACGUCCUCCCCAAGGCCUUAACUGUUGAAACAAACAAGGUCACAAGAACAAGGCCUGUUCUUUUCAGCUUCUCUAUAUAUGUGCACUCCCAAUCCUACCGGGGAUGGUUCUUUUGGGGAACCGUCCUAGGGCUAGUAAAUAGACCUCUCCCUGUUGUUUUUUGCAUUGUCUUUGAGUGUUCCUUUGCGGGUUACUUCCACUCGGAACCUAACAUAGGGGGGCUCACUGGGAUGGUAGUAGGACCCCUCUAGGAAACACCAGGACAAAGGGAAGGCUCUUCCAGCUCUUGUGCUGAAACCCUGAAGGGGCUGACUCUCCCCCUUGUGACCUGUCUACCAAUCGGGGGAAGCAGUAGCUGGACACCCUUCAGAUCUCCAAGCAGGUCUCCAUUGACCUGGGACCCUGGCAUUCACUGAGGACAUGCCCCUAAAUACCCUGUGUCUUCAGCCUUUCCCUCCCUGUUCAAGUUUUGGACAAUACCCUGUGGGAUAGGACCCUGAGCUUUGUAUCCUAGUCACCAUUCUGCCCCGAGUACUAUACCAUCUGGGAUGGAGCUGCUGGACUACUGGGAACAUCAAAGAAUCAGCCACCAGUAACAAGAACCUUUCCGUGCACUGACCCUAGCCACACUCUUUGGCUUGGCAGGGAUUGGCACAGGCUUUGUAUUGUCCACCAACUGGUCUACUUUGUGAAGGACCAGGUCCACACAGUCCAGCUCAUGGUCCUCAGGCAGCAGUAUCAGGCCCUGCCAGACCCCACCCCCUUCCACGCCCAUGGCUAUGCUAAUGCCCUGCCCCUGGAGGUCUCCGCUCGCCCCUGAAUGAACAUCAUAAAAUAAAAAGAACUGGGGAAUGAAGGGAGUGAAGGUU